CUAUAGGAAACCACGAGAUUGAACAGAAGAACAGAGACAGAACGCGGCAGUUUCCUUACCUUUUUAUCGUAAACAGAGCUUUAUAUGCCAUUAACCGACGACAAGGAUGGACGAAUUAAUCUUUUUUCUGAGGGAAAGGAAUAUUCCAGAAACCACCAUAAAAAGGCUGGAGGACGACAAGAUUGAUGUCAGUGUCCUACUGCUAAUGACUGAUGACCAGAUGAGAAGCUAUUUUCCUUCAUAUGGAGACAGACUCGCAGUGAUGGGGUUUUGCAGGAGGCAAGAAAGUGAGCCAACUUGCAGGAAGUCAAAGCUGUUUGAGCGCCUCAAAUCAAAAUUGAGCAAAAGACAAAAAACUGACAGUUCACAAACUGAAACCCAAACAACUAGAAAAAAACAAUUCUCAGCGUACUGUAAGAAAAGUUGAGAUUGGGUGGAUGCACUAUGAUGGGCAGGGCUUUGUUCAAAUGAGAGCAAAAAAAGGAGGGGGAACAAGGAAGUUGAGUGUGCCAAAAGACUGGAAAAGGGACGAACUGAUGGAGGAGGCAAUUCGUUU
Molecule: long non-coding RNA, 556 nt
Organism: Cyprinus carpio (common carp)
Lineage: Eukaryota; Metazoa; Chordata; Actinopteri; Cypriniformes; Cyprinidae
Exons: 3
Source: RefSeq, a predicted model, not a curated record